Microcebus murinus (gray mouse lemur) is the source of this 168-nucleotide non-coding RNA. The record is from RefSeq and is a predicted model, not a curated record. NCBI's taxonomy places the organism in Eukaryota, Metazoa, Chordata, Mammalia, Primates, Cheirogaleidae.
CCCAGAUGGUGCGCAUCACACUCAUUAUUGUACUGGCUACUUCCUGGGCAGCAAUGCUGAAUAGAAGCGGAUAUAUUUGUCUUGUUCUAAAUCUCAAGACACAAACCCACCACAUUUUACUAGUAGAGUAUCACUCUGUUACCCUGGGUAGAGUGCCGUGGCGUCAUC